This 810-nucleotide long non-coding RNA is filed under the name Medicago truncatula (barrel medic). Its description in RNAcentral is "lncRNA gene482". Lineage: Eukaryota; Viridiplantae; Streptophyta; Magnoliopsida; Fabales; Fabaceae. The record is from RNAcentral.
CAAAUAGAGUACUAAAUACUUGCAAAAGAUCAGGCAUUCGAAGAAAAUAUGAGAAAUGGAUUCUUCAAAACUGCAUCACCUACGCUCUGAAGCGAGCCACAACCGACUACACCUCUCCUAGAUAUCUUUUGUAGCAAUUCUAUUUUGAAAUAAUAUCCAAACUAAACACACAACUUUUGACAAAAUCGAUUUAUGUCAAGCCUUUGACCAUAAUAGAUCUGACAAACUAACUAUUCCCGCCAUAAGCUUCUUAUAAGCCUAAUACAAAAUUGGAAUCUCCUGAACACAUAUAUCCAAUUGAGAGACAUCAUUCCACAAAGAAAAGAAGAACUUCAUCGACCACCUUCUCUAACAACCUCAUCUCUCACACCAUAUCUAUUUACCAUCACUCCAUACCAAGAAAACAAUUUGUCUUAAUAGAUGUCUAAUUUUGUUCUUAGUUUUUACAGGGCCUCAUCUCAAAUGUGCCGGCUUUAAAUUGACAAUGGUCAUUGAUACACCGACCACCAACAAACAUUUAUAGACCAAGCUCCUUUUCGCAUGAUAAUUAAAAGGAAGAUGAAUGUGUAACAUAUAAACAUGUGACAGUGAAAUACAAAAUUGAAAGACCACUUACUACAAAUUAGUUACAUCUUUAUAAACACACUGGCUAAAAUAAUAUUCAAGUAAAUGCUUCACAGAGCCUUUGUACUCGGAGGCAUAAUAAUGAAUACAAUAUGCUAAAAAAUGUCAAAGGCAUUGGAUGUAGUCGCCUAUCAUUCCUAAAAUAAGCAACUAAAUUUACAUAGCUUCAAAUCCAAUGCACUACAG